CCUCUUUCAACCAUUGAUGUUCUGGUGGACAACACCACUGUUCUUGCAAUUGCAAAGAUUUGAUCGUGAAAUAUAUUGUUACAUAAGAGAUAAAAAGAAAUAACUUUUAUGAAAAUGAAGUAAAUAAUUUAUCAAAACUCAAAAAGUAUCAAAGCUUACAUAUCAUAAAUCACCCAUCCCACAAGUAUUAUCAAACAUCUGGAAUAAUGUGCACACUUUAUUUAUUACAUGAAACCAGUUGACAAAUGUUCCAAGGAACAAAACUUCUUCCACAGAAAAACCAAAAUAAUACACAUCAUUGUGGUAGACUAAGUUUCAAGUGCAUGUUUAGCACACAAUACUAGACAUGACGAAUGGGAUUUCAAGUAUUCACACAAAAACAGGGUGAUUAGUUUUUGUUACAGCUGUUACAAACUAAUAAAUGUCUGAUUCCUACAUUGUAAGGUCACCAUUAAUUGCCUAUGAAUAGAAGGUCAGAUGCAAUAAAUUCUGCUUAAAGUUGUUACACCCUCACGUUAGCACAGACUCAUCAUAUAAUAGUCUGUACCGUGUCAGGAAACUCUUGCCAUUAAGAUCCCUGAUUUAAUGCUUGCUUCUACCCCUCUUAAUUUUUGCUUUAACACGAGACUUUGUCAUUAGUGUCUGUACCGUGUUGGCAAAAUUUCCAACAGCCAUGAUAAUCAGAAGAAUCCCACAAGUAAUCACCUGAAAUUGG
RNAcentral lists this long non-coding RNA (715 nucleotides) under Olea europaea subsp. europaea. The record is from RNAcentral. Lineage: Eukaryota; Viridiplantae; Streptophyta; Magnoliopsida; Lamiales; Oleaceae.